RNAcentral lists this ribosomal RNA (526 nucleotides) under Callismilax gloriosa. RNAcentral describes it as "partial 16S ribosomal RNA". It matches the Rfam family "Bacterial large subunit ribosomal RNA", at positions 1808 to 2606 of the family's 2925-position model. Lineage: Eukaryota; Metazoa; Arthropoda; Insecta; Coleoptera; Tenebrionidae. The record is from RNAcentral.
CAAAAACAUGUCCUUUUGUGAAUGAUUUAAGGUCAGGCCUGCCCAAUGAUUAGUUUGAAUGGCCGCAGUAUUUUGACUGUGCAAAGGUAGCAUAAUCAUUAGUUUCUUAAUUAGGAGCUGGUAUGAAUGGUUUGAUGAAAAAUUGACUGUCUCAAUUUAAAUGAUUUUGAAUUUUAUUUUUAAGUGAAAAAGCUUAAAUUUUUUAUAAAGACGAGAAGACCCUAUAGAGUUUUAUAUUUAAUAUUAUUAAUAAUUUGGGGUUUUGUUUUAUUUUAAUAAUUGUUAAUAUUUUGUUGGGGUGACAUUAAAAUUUGAUAAACUUUUAUUUUUAAAAACAUUUAUUUAUGAAUAAUUGAUCCUAAUAUUUAGAUUAUAAGAAAAAAUUACCUUAGGGAUAACAGCGUAAUUUUUUUGGAAAGUUCUUAUUGAUAAAAAAGUUUGCGACCUCGAUGUUGGAUUAAAAUUUAGUUUGGGUGUAGAAGCUUAAAUGUUAGGUCUGUUCGACCUUUAAAAUUUUACAUGAUCU